This 974-nucleotide long non-coding RNA is filed under the name Nicotiana tabacum (common tobacco). RNAcentral describes it as "long non-coding RNA (NTAB_LNC014447)". Lineage: Eukaryota; Viridiplantae; Streptophyta; Magnoliopsida; Solanales; Solanaceae. The record is from RNAcentral.
GUUAUUUCGAACUUAUCGAAAUAACAGCCCGUUAUCGUUGGAUCGAGGUCGAACCUUUCUUUUUUUAUGGCGAAAGCCCUUGGCCUUGAAGGGUGUUAUUUCAAACUUAUCGAAAUAACAGUCCAUCGGCGUUCGAUCAAGGUCGAACCUUUCCUUUUUAUGGUGAAGGCCCUUGGCCUUGACGGGUGUUAUUUCGAACUUAUCGAUAUAACAGUCCAUCGUCAUUCGAUCGAGGUCAAACCUUUCUUUUUUGAUGGCGAAGGCCCUUGGCCUUGAAGGGUGAUAUUUUGAACUUAUCGAAAUAACGACCCGUCAUCUUUCGAUCGAGGUCGAACCUUUACUUUUUUUUGAUGGCUAAUGCCCUUAGCCUUGAAGUGUAUUAUUUAGAACUUAUCGAAAUAUCAGCCCGUCAUCGUUUGAUCGAGGUCGAAUCUUUUCUUUUUUGAUGGCGAAGGCCCUUGGCCAUAAAGGGUGUUAUUUCAAACUUAUCGAAAUAACAUCUCAUCAUCGCUCGAUCGAGGUCGAACCUUUGCUUUUUUGAUGGCGAGGGCCCUUGGCCUUGAAGGAUGUUAUUUCUAACCUAUCAAAAUAAUAGCCUGUCAUCAUUCGAUCGAGGUCGAACCUUAUCUUUUUUUUAUGACGAAGGCCUUUGGCCUUGAAAGGUGUUAUUUUGAACUUAUCGAAUAACGGCCCAUCGUCAUUCGAUAGAGGUCGAACCUUUUCUUUUUUUUUGAUGGCGAAGGCCCUUGGCCUUGAAGGGUGUUAAUUCGAACUUAUCAAUAUAACAGCCCGUCGUCGUUCGAUCGAGGUCGUACCUUUUCUUUUUUUGAUGGCGAAGGCCCUCGGCCUUGAAGGGUGUAAUUUCGAACUUAUAAAAAUAUUAGCCCGUCGUCGUUCGAUCGAGGUCGAACCUUUUCUUUUUUGAUUGCGAAGGACCUUGGCCUUGAAGGGUGUUAUUUCGAACUUAUCUAAAU